AAUUGGUUUUAAAACUUUUAGGGACCAAUUAAUUAAUAUUGAUAAAAUACAGGUACCUUAUAACAAUUUACCCUUCCAAUAAAGAAGAGACGUAGCAAAAACGACAACUCAUAAAGCUGAAGAAAAACCAGAUCAAAAUAACGGCAAAUCCAAAUUCACCUAAAAAUUAUCUUCAAUUUUUUACACGAUUGAGGUAUCAAUCUCACAGCCGAGUGAUCGUUUGCUGAAACUCCAAACUUUGCCGAAAACCACAUAAACUAUGUUGCAGUUAGUGGCUUCGAAGAUACAACACUUACUGGAAGAAACAAGCAUACAAAUUUCAAAGUGAAACUUUCCGGGUUCUUACUCAUUGCACUUCUGCUGAUGGUUUAAUGAAACAUCAUAAAGUUCAGAGAAUUUUUUAGGAAGUGGAUUCUUGAGAGUUUUUCUGUAUUGUAGCUUACAAAUAAAUCAAAAAAAAUUAUAUAGUAAUAUUUCAGCUGUUUGAAUUUGAGAAUGUUAAGAUGUAUAUGUAGUUUCAAACUUCAAAUAUGACAUGAAUCUGUGGGGAAAACUUUUUUUUUGAAUAGGAUGGUUUCACGAGGUUCAUGUUCAUCUUUCUUUGUUUGGUUGAAAUAUUAAUAUAGGGAUGAUUUAUGCA
Molecule: long non-coding RNA, 640 nt
Organism: Hevea brasiliensis (rubber tree)
Lineage: Eukaryota; Viridiplantae; Streptophyta; Magnoliopsida; Malpighiales; Euphorbiaceae
Exons: 2
Source: RefSeq, a predicted model, not a curated record